Molecule: long non-coding RNA, 609 nt
Organism: Thunnus maccoyii (southern bluefin tuna)
Lineage: Eukaryota; Metazoa; Chordata; Actinopteri; Scombriformes; Scombridae
Exons: 3
Source: RefSeq, a predicted model, not a curated record
AGGAGACACAGAACAACAUGUGGUUAAACUUUUCACUAUACGAGGGUUAGAGUCAGUUUAACUGCUGUCGUUCAGCUACAGUGAGACAGUUCAGACUGCAGAGAGAUCAGCUCUUAAGACAAACUGUCUGCUCUGUUAUUUGCAAGUGAUCAGAUCAGAUUUGUGUGACCAGUCUAUCUGUGUGGGUUGCUGUGGUAACGACAUAGGCGUCAGUAACUAUGCAUGCUGGUGACGCAGCUUUCCAACGCGGAAGUAUGAGAAAUGGAGAUCCAUCAUCCCUCCAAAGUGCCAACAGACACUUUGUUUCAGUGUCUGUCCACAGACUGUAGUUCUCUGUGUUACCUGCUAGUGUCUGCUAGUAGCUGUUAGUAGCAGCUAGUAGCUGUUAGUAGCUUCCAGACCUUCUAAAAUCAAUCCGGAUAUGACAAAAACCAAAUCUGUGCUGGCAGUCUGAACAAGGCUGAAGUCUUUAUCAGACCAUCAGCAGUGUUUGAGGAAACUGAAGAGCAGGUUAAAGGAACAUGCUGAGAGUUUUUCCCAUGAUGCUGUUGAAGAGGUCGAGGGCGGAGUUUCCUGCCACCAUGAAGAAGUCGGACAGGAAGAGGAACU